ACAGUUCCUUCGGGAAGCUGACGAGUGGCGCACGGGUGAGUAACGCGUACGCAAUCUGCCCUAAUCUGGGGGAAAGUCGCUGGAAACGGCGAAUAAUCCCGCAUAAGACCACGCUAUCGCAUGAUAGAGGGGUUAAAGCUUCGGUGGAUUAGGAUGAGCGUGCGUACUAUUAGCUAGUUGGUAAGGUAAUGGCUUACCAAGGCGACGAUAGUUAGGGGGCGUGAGAGCGUGAUCCCCCACACGGGUACUGAGACACGGACCCGACUCCUACGGGAGGCAGCAGUAAGGAAUAUUGGUCAAUGGGGGCAACCCUGAACCAGCCAUUCCGCGUGCGGGAAGAAUGCCCUCUGGGUUGUAAACCGCUUUUAUCAGGGAAGAAAUGUGUUCAUUAAUGGACAAGUUGACGGUACCUGAGGAAUAAGCACCGGCUAACUCCGUGCCAGCAGCCGCGGUAAUACGGAGGGUGCAAGCGUUAUCCGGAAUCACUGGGUUUAAAGGGUACGCAGGCGGUUUAGUAAGUCUGACGUGAAAGCUUGUGGCUUAACCAUGAAAUUGCGUUGGAUACUGCUUAACUAGAAUACGAUCGAAGUGGAUGGAAUGCGUCAUGUAGCG
Molecule: ribosomal RNA, 612 nt
Filed under: uncultured bacterium
Lineage: Bacteria
Description: bacterial SSU rRNA
Rfam family: Bacterial small subunit ribosomal RNA
Source: RNAcentral